AACCGCUAGCCACAACGCCACGUACUACUACUUAGUUUUGUCGAUCCUUGCGUCGAAGUGUCCGGCGUCUCAAUUGGUCUAAAAGCUAUAAUGCUUCACGAUAAAGCACUCCUUUUCAAAUGGAUUUGGCGUCUUGGGCAGCAGCAAGAUUCUCUUUGGGCUACCUUCCUUUCGCUUUGGGUAAUUCAAUUUCAUCUUUAUGGUCUAGAAUUCAAAAAUCUGCGCAUUCAGGUGGAUCCAAUUUCUCAGCCUUAUGGCAUGUUAGUUUUGCUAUUGGUGAGGGUAAGGGCGUUAGAAUUUGGCACGAUGUCUGGACAUCAAAUUCCCCACUGAAAUUUUCCUUUGCUAGGCUUUUCAACCUAGCUUCCAACCUGAAUGCAUUUGUUAAUGAGUUGGGAGACUGGGUGGAUGGGGUUUGGGAGUGGAAUUUCUCUUGGCGCAGGAAUCUUUGAGUGGGAACUGUAAAGGUUGGCUCGACUUCUUGUCAUUCUAAGCUCAGUGAGGUUAUGUCCAUUUAAGAAUGAUAAGUUGAUUUGGAAGCCAGAUAGCAAGGGUUUUUUUUUUUCAGUAAUGUCUUUUUGCAAGUGCCUUGUUAGUGCUAGUUGUGCUAUGCUGCCUUUUGCAUCUCAAAUUUGGUUGGGCCUUGCUCCUUCAACGGUUAAAAUUUUAAUUUGGUUAAUCUGUCAUGGGAGGCUUUGCUCAAGAGACCGUUUAUGCUCACUUGAUCUUCCUGGUUGACGUGGUCAUGGUUCUUGAAAUGGUGGGGUUUGGAUUUUUGCAUUCCUAAUUUGAUUCUUGAUCUUCUUACUAAAUGGAGAGCUUUAGUUUCUGGUAUUUUUUUAGGUGAAAUUUUGGCUAACUCUUGGGCAUGCCAUUCUUUUGUCUCUUUGGAUUGCAAGGAAUGAAAAGGUGUUUGAAAAUAAGAAUUCUAAAGAUCCCCUUGUUGUUUAAUUCUUUCCGAGUUGCUGUAUGGUUAAGGGCUUUGGAUGCCAGUUCUCCAUAUACUGGCCUUGAUUUGCUUCUCUCUCUGAAUGCUAUUAAGUGUUGGUUUAAUGCUUAUAAAUCUUAGCCAAGCAUCUCCUGGUCUUCUUCUAAUUCUAAUUAGAUAAAGUGGAAUGUUGAUGGUUCUUCUCUUGGGAAACCUAGUCCUUGCUCAACAGGAGGGGUUCUUCGUGAUGACUCUGGGAAUUUUUGUGGAUUUUUUCCUGUUUUGCAGGGUGUGAUGAUUCCAAUGUUGAGGAGUUUAUGGCCAUUGAUAAAGCACUAAGUCUAUUAUUGUUGAAUCCUGCAGUUUUGUCCUCUUCUUGUGGAGUGGUUGUCGAUUCUGAUUCAAAAAAUGCAUUGGCUUAGUCAAAUUCUUUGGAUUCAGUUCCUUAGUGUCUACACUCAAUUUCUAAUUCAAUUGUCAACAAUUUGAGAUCUCUCCCUGCUUAUGAUAUUCGACACAUCCCAAGGGAAGCUAACUGGGUGGCGGACUCUUUAGCCAAGCAAAGCUUGAGUCGAUCUGAGGACUUCAUAGCCUAGUUAUAGUAGUGCUGGUUUUAUGGUUUUUUUCUUCAGUAAUGAGCCUUCUAAUUGGUGUUACUUUGCUGCUUUGUUGGGUGUUCAGGUUUUCUGGUUUGAAUUCAUGAUUUUGUCUGUCAGUUUGUGUUGAGGUUUUCUUGCUUGCUAUUCAUGUGUCCUCGAUGCUGGACCUAUAGCUUUGGCUUUGGAUUUGUGUCCCUCGGGUUUGGCUCAAUUUGUGUUCUUUCUCUGUUCUGUUUGUAUCUGAAUUUUGUUUCUUUCUAUUUG
Long non-coding RNA from Hevea brasiliensis (rubber tree), 1791 nucleotides. RefSeq lists it as uncharacterized. The transcript is spliced from 2 exons. The record is from RefSeq and is a predicted model, not a curated record. NCBI's taxonomy places the organism in Eukaryota, Viridiplantae, Streptophyta, Magnoliopsida, Malpighiales, Euphorbiaceae.